This 267-nucleotide long non-coding RNA is filed under the name Brassica rapa (field mustard). RNAcentral describes it as "long non-coding RNA (BRAP_LNC006713)". The record is from RNAcentral. Lineage: Eukaryota; Viridiplantae; Streptophyta; Magnoliopsida; Brassicales; Brassicaceae.
ACAAAUAUAUCAAGCGACCCACCAAUCUUCUGUACAUGGGCGGCCCAAUAAAGAAAAAUUUCUAGGGUUUUCAAUUUUUGGGGAAAAUUGAAAAAAAAUCAUUUCUUCUCUUUUGAUCUUUUCACGAAAAUCGAGUUGAAAAAUCGAGUUUUCUCGCCAAAACCGUAAAAUCAAGUUUUCCCGCCAAUCGUAAAAUCGAGUUUUCCCGCCAAAACCACAAAAUCGAGUUUACCCGCCAAAACCGGAAAAUCGAGUUUUCCUGCCAAA